This 497-nucleotide ribosomal RNA is filed under the name uncultured bacterium. Its description in RNAcentral is "partial 16S ribosomal RNA". It matches the Rfam family "Bacterial small subunit ribosomal RNA", at positions 28 to 507 of the family's 1533-position model. The record is from RNAcentral.
GAUGAACGCUGGCGGCGUGCCUAAUACAUGCAAGUCGAGCGAACGGACGAGAAGCUUGCUUCUCUGAUGUUAGCGGCGGACGGGUGAGUAACACGUGGAUAACCUACCUAUAAGACUGGGAUAACUUCGGGAAACCGUAGCUAAUACCGGAUAAUAUUUUGAACCGCAUGGUUCAAAAGUGAAAGACGGUCUUGCUGUCACUUAUAGAUGGAUCCGCGCUGCAUUAGCUAGUUGGUAAGGUAACGGCUUACCAAGGCAACGAUGCAUAGCCGACCUGAGAGGGUGAUCGGCCAAAACGGAACUGAGAAACGGUCCAGACUCCUACGGGAGGCAGCAGUAGGGAAUCUUCCGCAAUGGGCGAAAGCCUGACGGAGCAACGCCGCGUGAGUGAUGAAGGUCUUCGGAUCGUAAAACUCUGUUAUUAGGGAAGAACAAAUGUGUAAGUAACUGUGCACAUCUUGACGGUACCUAAUCAGAAAGCCACGGCUAACUACGUG